Molecule: ribosomal RNA, 645 nt
Filed under: Lactarius quietus
Lineage: Eukaryota; Fungi; Basidiomycota; Agaricomycetes; Russulales; Russulaceae
Description: eukaryotic LSU rRNA
Rfam family: 5.8S ribosomal RNA (bases 179-332)
Source: RNAcentral
UGACUCAAAAAGUCGUGCACGCUGGUCGGUGUCCUCUCACAUAAUAAUCCAUCUCACCCUUUGUGCAUCACCGCGUGGGCACCCUUUGGGAUCGGACCGAUCUCGGAAGGGGGCCCGCGUUUUCACACAAACCCCCCCAUCUAAAAGUGUAGAAUGUCCUCAUUUAUGCAAUAAAUACAACUUUCAACAACGGAUCUCUUGGCUCUCGCAUCGAUGAAGAACGCAGCGAAAUGCGAUACGUAAUGUGAAUUGCAGAAUUCAGUGAAUCAUCGAAUCUUUGAACGCACCUUGCGCCCCUUGGUAUUCCGAGGGGCACACCCGUUUGAGUGUCGUGAAAAUCUCAACCUCCUUGGUUUCUUCUGGAGACCGAUGGGGGCUUGGACAUUGGAGGCCUUUGCUGGUGUCUCUCUUGAAGGGCCCAGCUCCUCUUAAAUGAAUUAGCGGGGUCCUCUUUGCCGAUCCUUGACAUGUGAUAAGAUGUUUCCGUGUCUUGGUCUCUGGCUCUGUUGCUUUUGGGACCCGCUUCUAAUCGUCUCAACCUUGCAUCGAGACAAACGUCUGAGCGUGGCUCCCUUCCCUGGGAAAACUCUCUCGACCUCACGAACCCUUGACCUCAAAUCGGGUGAGACUACCCGCUGAACUUAA